This 224-nucleotide ribosomal RNA is filed under the name uncultured bacterium. RNAcentral describes it as "partial 16S ribosomal RNA". It matches the Rfam family "Bacterial small subunit ribosomal RNA", at positions 109 to 334 of the family's 1533-position model. The record is from RNAcentral.
AGUAACGCGUGGGUAACCUGCCUCAUACAGGGGGAUAACAGUUAGAAAUGACUGCUAAUACCGCAUAAGCGCACAGUGCUGCAUGGCACAGUGUGAAAAACUCCGGUGGUAUGAGAUGGACCCGCGUCUGAUUAGCUAGUUGGUGGGGUAACGGCCUACCAAGGCGACGAUCAGUAGCCGCCUGAGAGGGUGAACGGCCACAUUGGGACUGAGACACGGCCCAA